This 29-nucleotide non-coding RNA is filed under the name Rattus norvegicus (Norway rat). The record is from RNAcentral. Lineage: Eukaryota; Metazoa; Chordata; Mammalia; Rodentia; Muridae.
UNGCUAUGCUUCUGUGGGUCAAACAUGCU